UCAACCGAUUUAACCAUCUAACCCAUCAAAUUAAAUGAGUUCAUGGGUUGACUCAAACUCAUUUCGACUCAACCCAUAAACUCAUUUAACUUCAAAUUCAUUGGGUAAUGAGU
Molecule: microRNA precursor, 113 nt
Filed under: Arabidopsis lyrata subsp. lyrata
Lineage: Eukaryota; Viridiplantae; Streptophyta; Magnoliopsida; Brassicales; Brassicaceae
Description: pre miRNA MIR405
Source: RNAcentral